This 241-nucleotide non-coding RNA is filed under the name Faecalibacterium prausnitzii. RNAcentral's name for it is "T-box sequence". It matches the Rfam family "T-box leader". From Rfam's summary of the family: Uncharged tRNA acts as the effector for transcription antitermination of genes in the T-box leader family. Lineage: Bacteria; Bacillati; Bacillota; Clostridia; Eubacteriales; Oscillospiraceae. The record is from RNAcentral.
AAAUUGGCUGUGAAGAGAAGAGUACGCCUCGUCUGCGCCUGACAGAAAGCCCGAAGGAUGGAACCGGGCAGGCCGCGCGGAGCGGAACAUGGUCUCUGAGCUGCGCGGGCGAAGCGUUAUGUCAGCCUGCGACGGGUGCGCCCGUUACUGCGCUCGCCGGAGGUUCCGGCGCAAGGCCGCGUCUGCAAGGGUGCGGCGAAACAAGGUGGUACCACGGAAGUUACACGCUCUCGUCCUUGUC